CGGGAGGGCGCUUACCACUUUGUGAUUCAUGACUGGGGUGAAGUCGUAACAAGGUAACCGUAGGGGAACCUGCGGUUGGAUCACCUCCUUACCUUAAAGAA
This 101-nucleotide ribosomal RNA is filed under the name Citrobacter koseri. Its description in RNAcentral is "partial 16S ribosomal RNA". It matches the Rfam family "Bacterial small subunit ribosomal RNA", at positions 1443 to 1533 of the family's 1533-position model. RNAcentral also lists the same sequence under 6 other names. The record is from RNAcentral. Lineage: Bacteria; Pseudomonadati; Pseudomonadota; Gammaproteobacteria; Enterobacterales; Enterobacteriaceae.